CGCGGGGAGGAGGCAGGGGCUACUUGCCUGUACUUCAGGGGGCUGUGGACGUCGGUCUUGAUGGACUGGAUCGCAAACUCAGGCCGGCACAAGGGAGUCCCCCCUGUCCCAGGCUGCCCCUUCUUGGGUAUGGGGAGGGGAGCCCCAGCUCCAUCUGAAUCCUCCCGGGCUCCAACCCCUUGCCAUCCUUUUUCUCUAAGAAGCUUUCCAGGCUGGUAGCUGUUCUCCGGGAGGUUCAUGUCUGCCCGCAGCAUGGUGGCCACCGACAUCAUGAACUGCAGCCUCCCAUCACCUCCAGGAUGUCCAGCAGGGGCUGCGAGUCUCGUUUCUCUAUCACACCUGAGAGGAGAGCAGGGGUCACUGGCCCAGACGCGCAGUGGGUGUGCACCUUCCCACAGACCCGCGGGGACCGCCCCUGUCACCCGGUGUGGCGCCGGAUGCAGAGGAGCCUGACGGAUGCAGCUGUGACAGGCGCCUGGGGCUCGGCGAAAGCAGAUGGGCGGGCAG
Molecule: non-coding RNA, 507 nt
Organism: Leptonychotes weddellii (Weddell seal)
Lineage: Eukaryota; Metazoa; Chordata; Mammalia; Carnivora; Phocidae
Source: RefSeq, a predicted model, not a curated record